This 211-nucleotide unclassified non-coding RNA is filed under the name plant metagenome. RNAcentral's name for it is "partial contains small subunit ribosomal RNA, internal transcribed spacer 1, and 5.8S ribosomal RNA". The record is from RNAcentral.
UUUCCGUAGGUGAACCUGCGGAAGGAUCAUUCAUAAUAAAGUGUUUUAUGGCACUUUUUAAAAAUCCAUAUCCACCUUGUGUGCAAUGUUAGAUCUCGUCAAUCUUGGCGAGAUUUUUAUACAUCAACUCAUUUUUUAACUAAUUUGUCUGAAAAAUAUUAUGAAUACUUAAUUCAAAACACAACUUUCAACAACGGAUCUCUUGGCUCUC